RNAcentral lists this ribosomal RNA (2182 nucleotides) under Salmonella enterica subsp. enterica serovar Enteritidis. RNAcentral describes it as "partial 23S ribosomal RNA". It matches the Rfam family "Bacterial large subunit ribosomal RNA", at positions 636 to 2802 of the family's 2925-position model. Lineage: Bacteria; Pseudomonadati; Pseudomonadota; Gammaproteobacteria; Enterobacterales; Enterobacteriaceae. The record is from RNAcentral.
UGUAGCAAGGUUAACCGAAUAGGGGAGCCGGAGGGAAACCGAGUCUUAAUUGGGCGUUAAGUUGCAGGGUAUAGACCCGAAACCCGGUGAUCUAGCCAUGGGCAGGUUGAAGGUUGGGUAACACUAACUGGAGGACCGAACCGACUAAUGUUGAAAAAUUAGCGGAUGACCUGUGGCUGGGGGUGAAAGGCCAAUCAAACCGGGAGAUAGCUGGUUCUCCCCGAAAGCUAUUUAGGUAGCGCCUCGUGAAUUCAUCUCCGGGGGUAGAGCACUGUUUCGGCUAGGGGGCCAUCCCGGCUUACCAACCCGAUGCAAACUGCGAAUACCGGAGAAUGUUAUCACGGGAGACACACGGCGGGUGCUAACGUCCGUCGUGAAGAGGGAAACAACCCAGACCGCCAGCUAAGGUCCCAAAGUCAUGGUUAAGUGGGAAACGAUGUGGGAAGGCCCAGACAGCCAGGAUGUUGGCUUAGAAGCAGCCAUCAUUUAAAGAAAGCGUAAUAGCUCACUGGUCGAGUCGGCCUGCGCGGAAGAUGUAACGGGGCUAAACCAUGCACCGAAGCUGCGGCAGCGACACUGUGUGUUGUUGGGUAGGGGAGCGUUCUGUAAGCCUGUGAAGGUGUGUCGUGAGGCAUGCUGGAGGUAUCAGAAGUGCGAAUGCUGACAUAAGUAACGAUAAAGCGGGUGAAAAGCCCGCUCGCCGGAAGACCAAGGGUUCCUGUCCAACGUUAAUCGGGGCAGGGUGAGUCGACCCCUAAGGCGAGGCCGAAAGGCGUAGUCGAUGGGAAACGGGUUAAUAUUCCCGUACUUGGUGUUACUGCGAAGGGGGGACGGAGAAGGCUAUGUUGGCCGGGCGACGGUUGUCCCGGUUUAAGCGUGUAGGUGUGUGUUCCAGGUAAAUCCGGUUCACUUUAACACUGAGGCGUGACGACGAGGCACUACGGUGCUGAAGCAACAAAUGCCCUGCUUCCAGGAAAAGCCUCUAAGCAUCAGGUAACAUCAAAUCGUACCCCAAACCGACACAGGUGGUCAGGUAGAGAAUACCAAGGCGCUUGAGAGAACUCGGGUGAAGGAACUAGGCAAAAUGGUGCCGUAACUUCGGGAGAAGGCACGCUGACACGUAGGUGAAGUGAUUUACUCAUGGAGCUGAAGUCAGUCGAAGAUACCAGCUGGCUGCAACUGUUUAUUAAAAACACAGCACUGUGCAAACACGAAAGUGGACGUAUACGGUGUGACGCCUGCCCGGUGCCGGAAGGUUAAUUGAUGGGGUCAGCGCAAGCGAAGCUCCUGAUCGAAGCCCCGGUAAACGGCGGCCGUAACUAUAACGGUCCUAAGGUAGCGAAAUUCCUUGUCGGGUAAGUUCCGACCUGCACGAAUGGCGUAAUGAUGGCCAGGCUGUCUCCACCCGAGACUCAGUGAAAUUGAACUCGCUGUGAAGAUGCAGUGUACCCGCGGCAAGACGGAAAGACCCCGUGAACCUUUACUAUAGCUUGACACUGAACAUUGAGCCUUGAUGUGUAGGAUAGGUGGGAGGCUUUGAAGUGUGGACGCCAGUCUGCAUGGAGCCGACCUUGAAAUACCACCCUUUAAUGUUUGAUGUUCUAACGUGGACCCGUUACCCGGGUUGCGGACAGUGUCUGGUGGGUAGUUUGACUGGGGCGGUCUCCUCCUAAAGAGUAACGGAGGAGCACGAAGGUUGGCUAAUCCUGGUCGGACAUCAGGAGGUUAGUGCAAUGGCAUAAGCCAGCUUGACUGCGAGCGUGACGGCGCGAGCAGGUGCGAAAGCAGGUCAUAGUGAUCCGGUGGUUCUGAAUGGAAGGGCCAUCGCUCAACGGAUAAAAGGUACUCCGGGGAUAACAGGCUGAUACCGCCCAAGAGUUCAUAUCGACGGCGGUGUUUGGCACCUCGAUGUCGGCUCAUCACAUCCUGGGGCUGAAGUAGGUCCCAAGGGUAUGGCUGUUCGCCAUUUAAAGUGGUACGCGAGCUGGGUUUAGAACGUCGUGAGACAGUUCGGUCCCUAUCUGCCGUGGGCGCUGGAGAACUGAGGGGGGCUGCUCCUAGUACGAGAGGACCGGAGUGGACGCAUCACUGGUGUUCGGGUUGUCAUGCCAAUGGCACUGCCCGGUAGCUAAAUGCGGAAGAGAUAAGUGCUGAAAGCAUCUAAGCACGAAACUUGCCCCGA